Long non-coding RNA from Alligator mississippiensis (American alligator), 513 nucleotides. RefSeq lists it as uncharacterized. The transcript is spliced from 4 exons. The record is from RefSeq and is a predicted model, not a curated record. Lineage: Eukaryota; Metazoa; Chordata; Crocodylia; Alligatoridae.
AGGAUUUCAGAAAGAGAGCUGUGGGACCAGUGACCUGUACUGCUGGGGUGGCUGUACCUUGGCUCCUUUGCUGCCAUACCACACAAGGGUGGACAAACUGUUCUGCAGAAGCAGCAGUGGGAGAAAGUCCUUCAAGCAGUUUGCCAGCAGUUCACUGGGAGCAAGAGGAGGAAGGGGAAGAGGAGCCAGACACCAGGCACUAGAUCCUGUUCUGAGAAGGCACAGACCUCGUCAUGGUGAUCUAUGUCUUUGUGGCCUUAAGGCUGGAUUACUGUAAUGUGCACCCUGGAAAACCACCUUCAGGGUAGAGAUAUGGAAGGACACAGAAGCACAAGUGCUCAAGGGCCUUCACCUGUGAGAGAUGGCAAACCUGUACUCUGCAAACUUCAUUAGAUUGUUUAAAAAUAUAUAACAUGGCCCAUUGAAGUUAGAACAUGAAUUCUCAGCCCAUGUGCCCAGGAACUCUGGGGUGCCAUAAGAUCCUUUGAAGGUUGCCACCAGGUGUGAGGAAAU